GAUGAACGCUGGCGGCGUGCUUAACACAUGCAAGUCGAGCGAGUGAGUUCUUCGGAACGAUCUAGCGGCGGACGGGUGAGUAGCACGUGGGCAACCUGCCUCAUAGAGGGGAAUAGCCCCCCGAAAGGGAGAUUAAUACCGCAUAAAAUUAUCGAGUGGCAUCACAUGAUAAUCCAAGGAGUAAUCCGCUAUGAGAUGGGCCCGCGGCGCAUUAGCUAGUUGGUGAGGUAACGGCUCACCAAGGCGACGAUGCGUAGCCGACCUGAGAGGGUGAUCGGCCACAUUGGGACUGAGACACGGCCCAGACUCCUACGGGAGGCAGCAGUGGGGAAUAUCGCACAAUGGGGGAAACCCUGAUGCAGCAACGCCGCGUGAGUGAUGAAGGUCUUCGGAUUGUAAAGCUCUGUCUUUGGGGACGAUAAUGACGGUACCCAAGGAGGAAGCCACGGCUAACUACGUGCCAGCCGCCGCAGUAA
This 476-nucleotide ribosomal RNA is filed under the name uncultured bacterium. Its description in RNAcentral is "partial 16S ribosomal RNA". It matches the Rfam family "Bacterial small subunit ribosomal RNA", at positions 28 to 523 of the family's 1533-position model. The record is from RNAcentral.